CAGCUGGUGUGUUUGUUCAAAAUCAAAACAUUAGGUAAUCAUAUUAGCUCAGUAGUUGCUCAUUUUUAGGUGUAUGUUUGAAUCACCUGUGAAACUGAAAAAAAUCUCAGUGCUGAACUGCAAAUUAGAGAAAUCAGCAUGCCUGGGAUGGGUGGGGCACAAGCAUCGAUAAUUUUAAGGGCAAUCCAGGUGAUCUGAAUGUGCGUCCAAGACUGAAAACCGCUGCAGUAGCUUCAAAUCUGUCUUGUGUUGUCCUGGGUAUUUUCCUGGGCAAGUGUAUACUCCAGAACAUGUGUCUCCAUGUAUAUCUGUAUGCACCACAGAGGUGUAUAUGUAUGUGUAUCUGUAUCUAAUUGAUGCUGUAGGAUAUUUUGUAGGAUUUUCCUUUACUAAAUACAUCCAAGCUCUUCUGCAAGAUGUGAGUAUAAGGGCUUCCCUGGUGGCUCAGAUAGUAAAGAAUCCGCCUGCAAUGCGGGAGACCUGGGUUUGAUCCCUGGAUUGGGAAGAUCCCCUGGAGAAGGAAAUUGCAACCCACUUCAGUAUUCUUGCCUGAAGAAUCCCCGUGGACAGAGAAGCCUGGCAGGCUACAGUCCAUGGCAUCACAAAGAGUCAGACAUGAUUGAGCGACUAAGAACCUUAAAGUUCAGAGAGACGUCUCAAAAAAUAGUUUCCAUGUUUCUCUGUCUUCUGCCAAAGUGCUGGCAUGAUGACCCUUUUAGUCUCUCCUAGCUCUCACAGUAAUGGCUACAAGCCCAGCCAAACAUCAGGAAGCAGCUUCUUCAGGAGCUUGAAAGAAAUCAGGUCUCAUUAAACAAUAAGGGAAUGGGCCACACAGCUCACUUAUUUCCUCUGCCCUUGGAAAAAUGUAGAUUCCUUGGUGUAAAGUAGAGAAGCAAAUCAAAACUAAAUUACCUCUGUGUAAAUAAACCAUGUGACACCAAUAAUUAGGAAGCUUAAGUGUAAGAACAUGGCCUGCUAUAUGAAAAGACCAAGAUUUACUUCCAGAUCAGCUGACAAACAUCUUUAAACUCUUUGAUGAUACAAACAAAACCUUUAAGCAGUUUGAUCCUAAGCCUUCUCUUCAUCCUUCCACCAGGAUUCCAGCUGUGAUUUGUCAGAUUUUAUGGUGUUAUUAUCAGAUCUGGACUGAUGGUGCUAAUUAUUCCCCUAAAAGAUACCAGGAUUUAAUCACGGAGAAACAAUAUUUUACUUCUAUUAAAAGGAUUUUUAGAAAUUUGUUUCAUCAUACUGUCUCUAUAACUUACUAUUUUUUUUUAUUUAUUGUAUUAGAAAAUGCAGUUAAUUGUGUUGAUACUAUUUUGGGAUUCAUGACAAACAUGUAUUUAAAUGGGGUGGUAUGUAUAAGCAUGAAUAGACCAUACAUGGGUUGUUGCUGAACAAAGUCUGUUGCUUUUUGCUUCUUUCUUUCUUUAUUUAUUUUUACAUUUGUAGGGUAAAAACCUACAAAGAACCUCCAACCUAUAAAGAACCUCCAGCCAGCUUGAUUUUGUUGCUGCUACCACUGCCAGAUAUAGCAGAGCUGACAUGUUGCUGAGUUAUGUCCUAGCAAUUUUUGCUCAUGUUGUAACUUAGCUUCACCACAUUAGUUCAGUCAAGCAGUGCUGUGGCCUUCUUGAUGUGUUCCAUAUUUACACAGUUGUAAAUAUUCUGUAAAGAAUUGUGUACAAUAGUUAUUGCUUCUGAGGUUAUGACAUAGGUUCAUUCUAGGGCUAAGACUUUUUUAUUGGUAAACAGUUCCCAAAACUUAACUAUGCAUGGUUAUCUUGAUAAAACAAUUUAUAAACUAAAUAUGUUUAAGGCACAUGAACCAAAUCAAAACAAAAAAUGAUGUCAAGCCUUCCCUGAAAUUUCCAUCAGUAGGUUAACAAAGUUGGGUAUUUACUAGGCAAUGUAGACCAGUGUAUCUGAAUUGUAAUGUGUCCAUAAAAUACCUGGGAAUAUUACUAAAAUUCAGAUUCUGAUUCAGAAGGUUUAGAGUGGGACUGAGAUGCUGAGCACGUUUCAAAGCUCUCCAGUGAUACUCAUGUUGCUUGUCGAAGAACCACACUUUGAAUAGAAUGGAACUAGGGAACUGACUUCACACCCAGAUUUUUGGGCUCUGUACCUCACUUUGUAAAUCAG
Long non-coding RNA from Bos taurus (domestic cattle), 2142 nucleotides. The record is from Ensembl. Lineage: Eukaryota; Metazoa; Chordata; Mammalia; Artiodactyla; Bovidae.